Long non-coding RNA from Salmo trutta (river trout), 1380 nucleotides. Lineage: Eukaryota; Metazoa; Chordata; Actinopteri; Salmoniformes; Salmonidae. The record is from Ensembl.
GCAGCAUUCUUACAUAGGUAUUCCUCGUGUCUGUGUCUUGUCUGUCUGUGUCUUGUCUGUCUGUGUCUUGUCUGUCUGUGUCUUGUCUGUCUGUGUCUUGUCUGUCUGUGUCUGUCUGUCUGUGUCUGUCUGUCUCUGUCUCUGUCUGUCUGUCUGUCUGUCUCUGUCUGUCUUUGUCUAUCUCUCUCUUGCUCUCUCUGUCUCUCUAUCUCUUGCUCUCUCUCCGUCUCUGUCACUCUCUCUCCGUCUCUCUCUCUGUGUCUGUUUCUCUCUCUCUCUGUGUCUGUUUCUCUCUCUCUCUCUGUGUCUGUCUCGCUCUCUCUGUGUCUGUCUCGCUCUCUCUGUGUCUCGCUCUCGCUCGCUCGCUCUGUCUUUCGCUCGCUCUCUGUCUAUCGCUCGCUCGCUCUCUGUCUUUCGCUCGCUCUCUGUCUUUCGCUCGCUCUCUGUCUUUCGCUCGCUCUCUGUCUUUCGCUCGCUCGCUCUCUGUCUUUCGCUCGCUCGCUCUCUGUCUUUCGCUCGCUCGCUCUCUGUCUUUCGCUCGCUCUCUGUCUUUCGCUCGCUCGCUCUCUGUCUUUCGCUCGCUCGCUCUGUCUUUCGCUCGCUCGCUCGCUCUGUCUUUCGCUCGCUCGCUCGCUCUGUCUUUCGCUCGCUCGCUCGCUCUGUCUUUCGCUCGCUCGCUCUGUCUCUUGCUCUGUCUCUCGCUCGGUCUCUCGCUCGCUCUGUCGCUCGGUCUGUCGCUCGGUCUCUCGCUCGCUCUGUCGCUCGGUCUCUCGCUCGCUCUGUCGCUCGGUCUCUCGCUCGCUCUGUCGCUCGCUCUGUCGCUCGGUCGCUCGCUCGCUCUGUCGCUCGGUCGCUCGCUCGCUCUGUCGCUCGGUCGCUCGCUCGCUCUGUCUUUCGCUCGCUCGCUCUGUCUUUCGCUCGCUCUCUUUCGCUCGCUCUCGCUCGCUCCCUCUCUUUUGCUCGCUCGCUCGCCCUCUGUCUUUCGCUCGCUCGCCCUCUGUCUUUCGCUCGCUCGCCCUCUGUCUUUCGCUCGCUCGCUCUCUGUCUUUCGCUCUCUCUUUGUCUGCCUCUCUUGCUCUGUCUCUUUGUCUCUCUUUGUCUGUCUGUCUGUCUGUCUGUCUGUCUUGCUCUGUCUCUUUGUCUCUCUUUGUCUGUCUCUCUCUCUCUGUCUCUUUGUCUCUGGAAAGUGUGUGGUUGUGUGUAUAUUUUGUGUGUCUGUUCUGUGUGUGCGUUCCCACUGUAGUGACCCCUCUUCAUUGUGACUGUCCCCACAGAGUAAUCCCUUCUGUUCCACCCCAGUGUCAACAUCCUGUCCCCAUAAGCCAUGCUUGUCUAACUCUGUCUCACCCUGUCCGGUUAAAACUACAUUCUGGGAUUUAA